AUAUCUUCUUGGCCUUUUGGCUAAGACCAAGUGUAGACAUUAAUAAUAUUGCUAUUUUAAUAAUUUUUUUUUUUUGGGGGGGGGGGAUGGAGUCUCGCUCUGUUGCCCAGGCUGGAGUGCGGUGGCGCGAUCUCGGCUCACUGCAAGCUCCGCCUCCCA
This 159-nucleotide small nuclear RNA is filed under the name Gorilla gorilla gorilla (western lowland gorilla). Its description in RNAcentral is "U2 spliceosomal RNA". It matches the Rfam family "U2 spliceosomal RNA". From Rfam's summary of the family: U2 is a small nuclear RNA (snRNA) component of the spliceosome (involved in pre-mRNA splicing). Complementary binding between U2 snRNA (in an area lying towards the 5' end but 3' to hairpin I) and the branchpoint sequence (BPS) of the intron results the bulging out of an unpaired adenosine, on the BPS, which initiates a nucleophilic attack at the intronic 5' splice site, thus starting the first of two transesterification reactions that mediate splicing. The record is from Rfam by way of RNAcentral. Lineage: Eukaryota; Metazoa; Chordata; Mammalia; Primates; Hominidae.